This 253-nucleotide ribosomal RNA is filed under the name uncultured bacterium. RNAcentral's name for it is "partial 16S ribosomal RNA". It matches the Rfam family "Bacterial small subunit ribosomal RNA", at positions 524 to 776 of the family's 1533-position model. The record is from RNAcentral.
UACAGAGGUCUCGAGCGUUGUUCGGAUUCAUUGGGCGUAAAGGGUGCGUAGGCGGCGGGGUAAGUCUGAUGUGAAAUUCCAGGGCUCAACCUUGGGACUGCAUUGGAUACUGCCUUGCUCGAGAACUGGAGAGGAGACUGGAAUUUACGGUGUAGCAGUGAAAUGCGUAGAGAUCGUAAGGAAGACCAGUGGCGAAGGCGAGUCUCUGGACAGAUUCUGACGCUGAGGCACGAAGGCCAGGGGAGCAAACGGG